UACGUAGGGGGCAAGCGUUGUCCGGAAUUAUUGGGCGUAAAGAGCGUGUAGGCGGUCCGGUAAGUCAGCUGUGAAAGUCAAGGGCUCAACCCUUGAAAGCCGGUUGAUACUGUCGGGCUAGAGUCCGGAAGAGGCGAGUGGAAUUUCCGGUGUAGCGGUGAAAUGCGUAGAUAUCGGAAGGAACACCAGUGGCGAAGGCGGCUUCCUGGACCAAUACUGACGCUGAGGUGCGAAAGCGUGGGGAGCAAACAGG
RNAcentral lists this ribosomal RNA (253 nucleotides) under uncultured bacterium. RNAcentral's name for it is "partial 16S ribosomal RNA". It matches the Rfam family "Bacterial small subunit ribosomal RNA", at positions 524 to 776 of the family's 1533-position model. The record is from RNAcentral.